UUAGCGUAUGAGUAUUUUUUAAAUGUUUGGAUUUCUUUAUGUUGUUUGCUUGAUUACCUGGUGCUCUAUGGAGGUAUCUAGGGCACAUGUAUUGAGUCUAUGACUCACUGUCAACAUUCCUGGAUGCGACUGCGGCAAUUCUUAUUUUUAUUCUUAUUUAAUUUUUGGCCCUAUAUUUAGUAGGGCAAAAAUCGAUCAAUCAUUGGCUGUACCUAUUUUCUAUUUUGAGGAUAAAGUCACUGUCCUCUAUGCAAACACACACUCUUCCAUUCUCUUCUAAAUCUCCUUUUUUCAAUUUGCAUGGUAUGUUCUUACUAUAAACAUUUAAAAGAGUUUUAUAUUUGCCCUUUAAUAUAGGCUGUGCUAUCUCUAUUCUAUCCACAUGAUGGCAAGCUAGAGACAACCUUACUACCCCUAAUAUCUAUACAUACGGUUUUCUUCUUCCUUUAUAUUUAUCUAUAUGAUCUCCUUUUCCAAAUAAAUCCCUUGUUUUUUAUUAUCCAUGGUUCCCCUUUUUACUAAAUGCCCUAAUUUCCUUAUGUGCGCCCUCUCUGAACUUCACGCUUGGCCGUUGUUUGCGGUUGUGCUGUAAUAUUGGUUCCGCUGUUACAUCGAGAAUUGCGACCUGUUUAUGCGCCGCUGUAAUGAAUGGGCGCGCGUCAAUGACGUCACACGUUUGACGCUGACGCAAGGAAAGGCCCUAUUUAAGGGAGGAACACACGCACUUGCCUUGUGUUGCCUCGUGUACACCCUGGGACACAGAUACCCUUACCUUUCGCCGCUCCACGGUAAGUACGGAUGCUCUUAUGCCUCGUGACACCCCUCACUUUUCCCAGAGAGUGUUACUUAUUACACCCUCACUCAUGUUUCCCUUUACUUAUAGGCCUCCUGUUUUAAAUACAGCGCAUGUUCACCAGCGGUACUUUUGACCUGAACAUUUGGCUUCAUAGGCUAUACAUGCCGCCCACGAUCUGUUGUCCCAGCAAACCUAAGAUCAUUUUAAUUAGUCUUUUUUGAGCUGUGCAGUGUGUCAGGGAUUAUCUAGCCCUGCAACCCAUGGAUCUUUCGUUUUGACCUCUAUUGGCUUACCAAAGAUUCCAGUUGCUGCGCAUGCAAAUUCCUGCCAAAACUGCAUCCUGACGAAUGUUGUCAAUCACUGUGCAUCAUAUAUACUUUAUGGAUGUUUCCACUGAGGACCAUAUGUCAUACACAAAUCUGUCUUUAUGCUAAAUAUGCAUUCCUCGUCUUCGUCCUGAAGAAGCCCCACGGCGAAACGUGCGUUGGCGACUUCUGAGGAAUAUACAGU
Molecule: long non-coding RNA, 1306 nt
Organism: Rana temporaria (common frog)
Lineage: Eukaryota; Metazoa; Chordata; Amphibia; Anura; Ranidae
Exons: 4
Source: RefSeq, a predicted model, not a curated record